ACCAACAGGGAUUGCCCUAGUAACGGCGAGUGAAGCGGCAACAGCUCAAAUUUGAAAUCUGGCUCUUUUAGAGUCCGAGUUGUAAUUUGCAGAGAGCGCUUUGGCGUUGGCAGCGGUCCAAGUUCCUUGGAACAGGACGUCACAGAGGGUGAGAAUCCCGUACGUGGUCGCUAACCUUCGCCGUGUAAAGCCUCUUCGACGAGUCGAGUUGUUUGGGAAUGCAGCUCUAAAUGGGAGGUAAAUUUCUUCUAAAGCUAAAUACUGGCCAGAGACCGAUAGCGCACAAGUAGAGUGAUCGAAAGAUGAAAAGCACUUUGGAAAGAGAGUCAAACAGCACGUGAAAUUGUUGAAAGGGAAGCGCUUGCAGCCAGACUUGCCCGCAGUUGCUCAUCCGAACUUUUGUUCGGUGCACUCUUCUGCGGGCAGGCCAGCAUCAGUUUGGGCGGUUGGAUAAAGGUCUCUGUCAUGUACCUCCUCUCGGGGAGGCCUUAUAGGGGAGACGACAUGCAACCAGCCUGGACUGAGGUCCGCGCAUCUGCUAGGAUGCUGGCGUAAUGGCUGUAAGCGGCCCGUCUUGAAACACGGACCAAGGAGUCUAACAUCUAUGCGAGUGUUUGGGUGUCAAGCCCGAGCGCGUAAUGAAAGUGAACGGAGGUGGGAACCCUUAAGGGUGCACCAUCGACCGAUCCUGAUGUCUUCGGAUGGAUUUGAGUAAGAGCAUGGCUGUUGGGACCCGAAAGAUGGUGAACUAUGCUUGAAUAGGGUGAAGCCAGAGGAAACUCUGGUGGAGGCUCGCAGCGGUUCUGACGUGCAAAUCGAUCGUCAAAUUUGGGCAUAGGGGCGAAAGACUAAUCGAACUAUC
Molecule: ribosomal RNA, 862 nt
Filed under: Coniothyrium glycines
Lineage: Eukaryota; Fungi; Ascomycota; Dothideomycetes; Pleosporales; Coniothyriaceae
Description: partial large subunit ribosomal RNA
Rfam family: Eukaryotic large subunit ribosomal RNA
Source: RNAcentral